UUUGCCAAGAACUUGCAACUUGCAGCGUGUCCUGUGAAAUAAGAUGGUACGCCCUUGGGUCAGGAAGCUUUGCAGGGCAUUGCUGCGGGGCCCUCUGGUUGACAAUUUGACCUGCCAGGGUAAAAAUCAGGAGGGCAAGCCCAGCAGUAGAGGCUGUGAAACCUUGCAGGAAGCGAUCAGUGCCAGUAAGACUCACUUUUACCACAUCUGACUGUGAAGGGGAUCCCUGAAGUCCACCCAGAAGUAGAGGCUGAAAUGUCUCUGCAAGUCAAAUGAGAAGGGGAGAGGAGUGGAGAAGUCAGGAAGACCUGGGGUGAAUUGACAUGGAACCAUUUGGGAAGCUUUUCCUAGUUGCAAGCAAGCUGUAUGAUUUCAGCUCAUAGCUUUGUGGUACGAAGCAAGUGGAGUGCUUAAUGUUUGGAGAGGCAGCCUCAUCUGUCACCGCAGCUCUGGAGGACUUGUGAAACCCGAGCAGCUGGAUGGCGAAAACUGCUUUAAAUGUAGCAAGAAAGAUGAUUACUGACGACAUAAUACUAGAUCCUGCGUGAAUGUGUUGCAUGUCAUUGAGCAUGAGUUAUCUUUUCCCAUAGAUUAGAUGCACAAUAAUGAGACUCAGUUGUGGGUUUUUAAAAAAAUUUUUUAAAUUCAGUUCUUAUGGAACUGAGUAGCCUUAAAAUAGUGUAAGGAUGUGUGAUACCUGAAAGCUUGUCUGGCUUUCUGGGGGGAAAAAGGGUGCAUUUCAAGGGUGCAUCACACUUGGCUCUGUGCUUGGUUUCAAGAUGUGAAAAGAUGGUCUGCUCCGACAGAGCUGCUUUGGCUGAGAAGAUUCCUGCCAUCCAUUACACGUUGCUUUAGGGAAAACCAAGUGUUCAUGAUCCCCAAAGAUGUAUUUAUACACCUCUAGCCCCUGGUCUUUGAAGGCUAUUUCAUGAAGUACUUCAGGAUCAUUUCUGAGCCCUCUUGGUCUCUCCUUAGGUUGUGGAAUAUCCAAGUACUUGGAUCUUUGGUCAUGCACAUCACAGGCAGCUGGAGAACCGCUCCUCUACACCUUAUAUGCUGUUCUGGUACAUAGCAGUAGCAGCUGUCAUGGGGGACACUAUUUCUGCUACACAAAGGUAAACAGCAUCUUCCUUCCUAGCAGGGGAAAAAUGUGGGCUGAGGAAGACAAACUUUCACGGCAGUGUUACUGGCAGCCAAGGUUUUGGAGGAGAAGGUCUCCUUACGGGAGAUUGGAUUUGUUUUGGCAUGCUCUUGGUUCUGCAGUUUUUCUGCCUGGGUUUUUGUGGAGAAACCAUGCAGUUCACCUCCAGAUAUCGAAGCCUUUCUUUGCAGACCAGCAAUGGACUGUGGUAUGAGAAGAAUGAUACAUCUGUGGUUCUUUGUGACAUCAACAACAAGCAACAACACUUCGUGACAUCAGGCAGCAAGCUUAUCUGUUGUUUAAUGUCGGGUAAUAACAAUUAUUAAAGUGUAUUUAGGAUAUGUUUCCUU
Molecule: long non-coding RNA, 1491 nt
Organism: Aptenodytes forsteri (emperor penguin)
Lineage: Eukaryota; Metazoa; Chordata; Aves; Sphenisciformes; Spheniscidae
Exons: 5
Source: RefSeq, a predicted model, not a curated record